This is an RNA transcript of Brachypodium distachyon (stiff brome), 2641 nucleotides long. RefSeq lists it as uncharacterized. The record is from RefSeq and is a predicted model, not a curated record. Lineage: Eukaryota; Viridiplantae; Streptophyta; Magnoliopsida; Poales; Poaceae. The transcript has 5 exons.
UUAUCGCUUGGAAAAAACAUGAGCUCUGGCUCCCCGAGAGAGGAGGAGUUUGGUGAGGAAGAAGAUCGAGGAGAGCCUCGUGGGGAGGUAGGAAGGAAAUGGCGGCAGCGACCUCACUGCCUUGCUCCUCCUCCACCAUUCCUCCCAGCCUCCCUUCUCCUUCCUCCUCCCGACCUCUCUUCUUCCUCCUCUCUAAUCCACAGAGGCCAUCUCGUCUCCAGUUGCUGCACAUCCACCCGCGCCAUCGCCGACCCUCCAUCCGUUGUUGUUCCUCCGCAUCCUCCUCCUCCUCUUCGUACAACGGCUGGGCCGACCUCCCCGCCGCCGCCCCCGACGACAUCCUCCCCUUCUUCCGCGUCCCGCAAUCCAUCGCCGCAGCGCCGCUUCCUAUCCUCCUUCUCCUCGUCCCCGCCGCCGCGCUCUCCCUCUCCCGCCUCCCGCCGCUCCCGCUCCUCGCCGCCGCCUUCGCCGCCGGAUUCGCCACCGCCAGGCACCUCGCCCCCGGCGCUUCCUCCUCCCACGCCCACGCCCAGCGCCGCCUCGCCUCUCUCCUCGCGGAUCUCGACGCCCGCCUCCUCUCCCUGAAGAAAACCCACUCGCCCUCCCCCGCCGACGAUGGCUUCCUCCAGGCCGUCGACCGCGCGCGCGAUGCGGUGCGGGACUACGCGGCCGCGGUGGCCGGCCAGGGCAGCACAGCCGCGCCGGACGAAGGGACGCUGGGCGAGUUGGCCAGGGAGGUCGCCGGCUAUUUCGGCGCCUGGGUCCGGGACACCCUCCGGGAGCUCAGAUUCACCUCGCCGCGGAAGAAGCCCUCCGUCAAGGUCGCCGCCGCCGCCGCCGCCGCUGCAGUAGAUGCUGAUUCAGACGCUGGGUUUGAUCUAAAAAAUUCAGACGCUGGGUUAGUGAACAGUGGGAGCAGAGACACUCAAGCUCAAAAAGCGAAUGGGGAUGAUUCAUCAUCGAUCCGUCCCACCGGAAGUGCUGCAAGGCCUCUCGACAUGCUGCCGUUUGACGCCAAGGAUGCCGAUGACCUGGAAGAUGCAGGGUUCAGUUCUCAGAGUGGUCAGGCUGAAGAUGAUGACCGAUUGGAGAGGCUCGUGUUCAAGCACAGGUACGGGCGCGGCAGCGGUGCGCAGGACAACGGUCGAUUUCAAGGCCGUAGGUUUGCCACUGAGUCGUCUCUGCUGGAGAGGACGCUCGAGAUCCGCGACAGGUCGUACAGGUUGAAGAUUGAGCGUCGCAGCGAUAGUGAUAGCCGAGUACAUGAGAGGUCAGCCGAUGAAUUCAGGAGUAAUGCUGCAAGUGUUGAUGAAACUACAGAUGAUGAGGGUGCUGCUGCCGUGGAUUCGGAUGGUGAAGAAUUCAGCCGCAAUAUUAAGGAGGCCGCGGAGGUCUUGAGGAAGGCGAGGGAGUGCAUGAUGGCCAGGGCUGAUGAAGAGACUGCAGAUGCGUUGCUGUAUAAAUCAGCAAGCCUUCUUUCUACUGCUGUAGCUUUGAGGCCAACAAGUUUGGUUGCAGUGGGUCAGCUAGGGAACACUUACCUCCUCCAUGGGGAGCUCAAGCUCAAGAUUAGCCGCGAGCUGAGGACGCUGUUGGCCAACAGCGGGGCUUAUCUAAAUGGGAGAGAGCGUGUCUCACGGUCCAGGAAGCUGGAUAGAAGAAUCGUAACCAGAGAGAACAUUUCGUCCGCACUAGUGGAUGUUUGUGAGGAGUGUGAGAGCCUGCUUGUUGAUGCUGGGAGAAGCUACAGGACGGCUGUGUCAAUUGAUUCGGGUGACGUCAAAGCAUUAUACAAUUGGGGACUGGCUCUUAUCUUCCGUGCCCAACUACUUGCCGACAUCGGACCGGAAGCGGCAGUUGAUGCUGAUCGGGUGUACUUGGCUGCAAUCGAUAAGUUUGAUGCCAUGUUAUCGAAAAGCAACACUUAUGCUCCAGAAGCUCUGUACCGAUGGGGCAGCGCGCUGCAGCAGCGAUCCCAACUGCGUUCUGGGAAGAACAAGGAGAAGAUCAGGCUUCUGGAGCAGGCAAAGAGCUUGUUUGAAGAUGUUCUGUAUGUGGAGGCGGAUAACAAGAUGGUAAGGGAAGCACUGUCGUCGUGCAUAUCAGAGCUCAACUACCAUGGGAGAUGGCUGUAGCUAGCCAAUUGGUCUUGGAAUGGCGAAACAGAGCCUUGUGUAUAAGGAUUCUGAUUCAAGAUACCUCGCAGAUGUUUGGAUUUACGGACACAGAAUAGAAGACAAUCGUCGGCUGAGAUGGAGAAGUUGAAAGAAUGGUUGGAUAAAGCUGUUAGGGAAGAUGAUGAGUGGAUGGAUCCUUUUGAAGCUUGAUUACUUUGGAACAAGGAUCUGAGACCUGAGACGAAACCGUAUACCAACGUAUGUAGUAUAACACACACAUAUUCGCUUCCGACUCCAACUCAAGAUCACAGAGAUCCCGUCCGGCCUUCUCUUGCAAUACAUGCUGCCGGCGGCCGGCGCUCUCUGCUAUUCUUUGCUAUUAUUUGUAGACAACCAAUUACUUAAGCCUGCACGCACAUAGAGUAAUACGUAUUCUUGGAAUCGAUCGUGCCAAGAUCGGAUACCUGAACUGAAACGCACUUAUACAAUACGUACCCGAUUCUGACUCCAACAGUCCAACUCAA